RNAcentral lists this ribosomal RNA (117 nucleotides) under Bacillus sp. S3. The record is from RNAcentral. Lineage: Bacteria; Bacillati; Bacillota; Bacilli; Caryophanales; Bacillaceae.
UCUGGUAACUAUGGCAAGAAGGUCACACCCGUUCCCAUACCGAACACGGAAGUUAAGCUUCUCAGCGCCGAUGGUAGUUGGGGCAUGCGCCCCUGUGAGAGUAGGACGUUGCCAGGC